CGACUACAUGAAGCUGGAAUCGCUAGUAAUCGCGGAUCAGAAUGCCGCGGUGAAUACGUUCCCGGGUCUUGUACACACCGCCCGUCACACCAUGGGAGCCGGGAAUGCCCGAAGUCGGUGACCUAACCUGGAAAAGGGAGGAGCCGCCGAAGGCAGGUCUGGUAACUGGGGUGAAGUCGUAACAAGGUAAC
RNAcentral lists this ribosomal RNA (191 nucleotides) under uncultured bacterium. Its description in RNAcentral is "partial 16S ribosomal RNA". It matches the Rfam family "Bacterial small subunit ribosomal RNA", at positions 1313 to 1500 of the family's 1533-position model. The record is from RNAcentral.